GGGAUGUAGCUCAAUUGGUUAGAGCACCGGCCUGUCACGCCGGAGGUUGCGGGUUCGAGCCCCGUCAUCCU
Molecule: transfer RNA, 71 nt
Filed under: zebrafish metagenome
Rfam family: tRNA
About the family: Transfer RNA (tRNA) molecules are approximately 80 nucleotides in length. Their secondary structure includes four short double-helical elements and three loops (D, anti-codon, and T loops).
Source: RNAcentral